Molecule: unclassified non-coding RNA, 286 nt
Filed under: Hevea brasiliensis (rubber tree)
Lineage: Eukaryota; Viridiplantae; Streptophyta; Magnoliopsida; Malpighiales; Euphorbiaceae
Source: RNAcentral
UCCAAAUGGAGGCCAUUACAAAAAUAGCAAUAUAAGCUAUGACAAAAAAAUAUGUAUAAAGGUAUAUUUUAGUAAAAUUGGGGCAGCAUCCAGAUUAAUAUCAUAAAUAAUGAGCUAGCAAUAUUGAAAUAUAUUCUUGGCACAUGAUGUGUCAGACAAACUUUUGUGCUUAAAAAUCAACCUUGGUAGAGUGUAAUCCUUAAGUAGACAUAUCCAUUAAUUAGGAUCCUAAACUAGAAUCAGUAUUGUCCAGUCUCACCUUAUAAUUCUUCUGUUUUUACAUCAG